UGGGGAAUAUUGGACAAUGGAGGCAACUCUGAUCCAGCAAUUCUGUGUGUGUGAAGAAGGUUUUAGGACUGUAAAACACUUUUAGUAGGGAAGAAAGAAAUGACGGUACCUACAGAAGAAGCGACGGCUAAAUACGUGCCAGCAGCCGCGGUAAUACGUAUGUCGCGAGCGUUAUCCGGAAUUAUUGGGCUUAAAGGGCAUCUAGGCGGUUAAACAAGUUGAAGGUGACAACCUGUGGCUCAACCAUAGGCUUGCCUACAAAACUGUAUACCUAGAGUACUGGAAAGGUGGGUGUAACUACACGAGUAGAGGUGAAAUUCGUAGAUAUGUUUAGGAAUGCCCAUGAUGAAGAUAACUCACUGGACAGCAACUGACGCUGAAGUGCGAAAGCUAGGGGAGCAAACAGG
RNAcentral lists this ribosomal RNA (407 nucleotides) under Verrucomicrobiota bacterium. RNAcentral's name for it is "Verrucomicrobia bacterium partial 16S ribosomal RNA". It matches the Rfam family "Bacterial small subunit ribosomal RNA", at positions 355 to 776 of the family's 1533-position model. The record is from RNAcentral. Lineage: Bacteria; Pseudomonadati; Verrucomicrobiota.